AAUACAUGCAAGUCGAGCGAACGGACGAGAAGCUUGCUUCUCUGAUGUUCUCGGCGGACGGGUGAGUAACACGUGGAUAACCUACCUAUAAGACUGGGAUAACUUCGGGAAACCGGAGCUAAUACCGGAUAAUAUUUUGAACCGCAUGGUUCAAAAGUGAAAGACGGUCUUGCUGUCACUUAUAGAUGGAUCCGCGCUGCAUUAGCUAGUUGGUAAGGUAACGGCUUACCAAGGCAACGAUGCAUAGCCGACCUGAGAGGGUGAUCGGCCACACUGGAACUGAGACACGGUCCAGACUCCUACGGGAGGCAGCAGUAGGGAAUCUUCCGCAAUGGGCGGAAGCCUGACGGAGCAACGCCGCGUGAGUGAUGAAGGUCUUCGGAUCGUAAAACUCUGUUAUUAGGGAAGAACAUAUGUGUAAGUAACUGUGCACAUCUUGACGGUACCUAAUCAGAAAGCCACGGCUAACUUCGUGCCCACAGCCGCGGUAAUACGUAGGUGGCAAGCGUUAUCCGGAAUUAUUGGGCGUAAAGCGCGCAGAGGCGGUUUUUUAGUCUGAUGUGAAAGCCCACGGCUCAACCGUGGAGGGUCAUUGGAAACUGGAAAACUUGAGUGCAGAAGAGGAAAGUGGAAUUCCAUGUGUAGCGGUGAAAUGCGCAGAGAUAUGGAGGAACACCAGUGGCGAAGGCGACUUUCUGGUCUGUAACUGACGCUGACGUGCGAAAGCGUGGGGAUCAAACAGGAUUAGAUACCCUGGUAGUCCACGCCGUAAACGAUGAGUGCUAAGUGUUAGGGGGUUUCCGCCCCUUAGUGCUGCAGCUAACGCAUUAAGCACUCCGCCUGGGGAGUACGACCGCAAGGUUGAAACUCAAAGGAAUUGACGGGGACCCGCACAAGCGGUGGAGCAUGUGGUUUAAUUCGAAGCAACGCGAAGAACCUUACCAAAUCUUGACAUCCUUUGACAACUCUAGAGAUAGAGCCUUCCCCUUCGGGGGACAAAGUGACAGGUGGUGCAUGGUUGUCGUCAGCUCGUGUCGUGAGAUGUUGGGUUAAGUCCCGCAACGAGCGCAACCCUUAAGCUUAGUUGCCAUCAUUAAGUUGGGCACUCUAAGUUGACUGCCGGUGACAAACCGGAGGAAGGUGGGGAUGACGUCAAAUCAUCAUGCCCCUUAUGAUUUGGGCUACACACGUGCUACAAUGGACAAUACAAAGGGCAGCGAAACCGCGAGGUCAAGCAAAUCCCAUAAAGUUGUUCUCAGUUCGGAUUGUAGUCUGCAACUCGACUACAUGAAGCUGGAAUCGCUAGUAAUCGUAGAUCAGCAUGCUACGGUGAAUACGUUCCCGGGUCU
Molecule: ribosomal RNA, 1349 nt
Filed under: uncultured bacterium
Lineage: Bacteria
Description: bacterial SSU rRNA
Rfam family: Bacterial small subunit ribosomal RNA
Source: RNAcentral